Molecule: long non-coding RNA, 862 nt
Filed under: Bemisia tabaci
Lineage: Eukaryota; Metazoa; Arthropoda; Insecta; Hemiptera; Aleyrodidae
Description: lncRNA ENSASIAIIG002008
Source: RNAcentral
CUUUUCCACUUCCGGCCGGGGGCUCACCGGACCGCUCGCUCGCCUAAUUUUCAAAGCUGACUUUUUCCUCUGUGCUAAUUUUAAGUAUUUCGUUUGAUCUCAGUUAUAAACGCUCCUUCUUCAGUUCCUUAGAGUUAGAAUUUUGAGAAAUUUUGGGUGGCCUAUGCGUGAGGUUUAGUCGGAUAGGUUCGUGUCCUGCGUUCAAGUCUCUGUGAACGGGAGGGUUUUUCCAAAGUGUUUUCGAGACGAUUUUUGGUUCGGUCUGUUUACGCAGUGAAGGAUUUUUGAUCAUAUGAGCUUCAAAAGGCGUGAAUAAUGAUAAGCUUGGUUCGGACGUUUUUUAUUGUUCAUUUUACAUCACAUUAUGUUCGGCUGUCCCAUCCAGAAGCAGACAUCGAGUGGAAAGAGCACUAUACGGAAAUCUGAGACGGAACUUCAACUGCGACUCGGAGGGCUUCCACUCGGAUCCAGAUGAUUGUACGACGUUCUACCGUUGCAUAGACUGGAGCAAGACCGACGCAAAUGCUCCCAGGAACCGAUUUACCUCAUUCCAGUUCCAGUGUGGCCCUGGCACAGUUUUUGAACCGGAGAACGAGAGUUGCGUCCACCCACAAUUAUCCUCCCGGGACGAGUGUCGACAGUUACCCCGCCAAUCGAAGCCGAGCCGGAGCCCGAUAACUGGGGAAGUCAGUCCGAACCCAGGGACCACCCCAGUCCCAGUACGGUGCUCCAUCGAACAACGACUACUACGGAAACCCAUCGAACCAGCAGGGAUCUUCGAAUUACGGUCCCUCGAACUACGGAGAAGUCCCUUCGUCCCCAGGAUCAGAGCCGAGCAACAAUGUUGAUAAUUUAGAGGAAG